UGCAAGUCGAGGGGCAGCAUUUCUAGCUUGCUAGAAGAUGGCGACCGGCGGACGCCUUUAUAACGCGUAUGCAACUUGCCUAUAACUUAGGGAUAACUUGGAGAAAUCCUUGCUAAUAUCUGAUGUGAUCAAAAAUUCGCAUGUUUUUUUGAUUAAAGAAUUUCGGUUAUAGAUAGGCAUGCGUCCUAUUAGCUAGUUGGUAAGGUAAUGGCUUACCAAGGCUACGAUAGGUAGGGGGCCUGAGAGGGUGAUCCCCCACACUGGUACUGAGACACGGACCAGACUCCUACGGGAGGCAGCAGUGAGGAAUAUUGGUCAAUGGAGGCAACUCUGAACCAGCCAUCCCGCGUGAAGGAUUGAAGGCGCUCGACGUCGUAAACUUCUUUUAUAUAGAAAUAAACUUAGGUACGUGUUUUUAAUUGAAUGUACUAUAUGAAUAAGCAUCGGCUAACUCCGUGCCAGCAGCCGCGGUAAUACGGAGGAUGCAAGCGUUAUCCGGAUUUAUUGGGUUUAAAGGGUCCGCAGGCGGACUAAUAAGUCAGUGGUGAAAUCCCAUCGCUCAACGAUGGAACUGCCCUUGAAACUGUUAGUCUUGAGUCUAGUUGACGUAGGCGGAAUAUGGCAUGUAUCGGUGACAUGCAUACAUAUGUCAUAUAACAC
RNAcentral lists this ribosomal RNA (660 nucleotides) under uncultured Flavobacteriia bacterium. RNAcentral describes it as "bacterial SSU rRNA". It matches the Rfam family "Bacterial small subunit ribosomal RNA", at positions 56 to 709 of the family's 1533-position model. Lineage: Bacteria; Pseudomonadati; Bacteroidota; Flavobacteriia. The record is from RNAcentral.